RNAcentral lists this ribosomal RNA (442 nucleotides) under uncultured bacterium. Its description in RNAcentral is "partial 16S ribosomal RNA". It matches the Rfam family "Bacterial small subunit ribosomal RNA", at positions 338 to 795 of the family's 1533-position model. The record is from RNAcentral.
CCUACGGGAGGCAGCAGUAGGGAAUCUUUCACAAUGGGCGAAAGCCUGAUGGAGCAACGCCGCGUGCAGGACGAAGGCCUUCGGGUUGUAAACUGCUUUUAUAAGCGAGAAAUAUGAUGGUAACUUAUGAAUAAGGAUCGGCUAACUACGUGCCAGCAGCCGCGGUCAUACGUAGGAUCCGAGCAUUAUCCGGAGUGACUGGGUGUAAAGAGUUUCGUAGGUGGCAUAAUAAGUAGCUAGUGAAAUCUGGUGGCUCAACCAUUCAGACUAUUAGCUAAACUGUUAAGCUCGAGACCGUUAGGGGUAACUGGAAGUUCUAGUGUAGGAGUGAAAUCCGUAGAUAUUAGAAGGAACACCAAUAGCGUAGGCAGGUUGCUGGGACGGUUCUGACACUAAGGCACGAAAGCGUAGGGAGCAAACGGGAUUAGAUACCCUGGUAGUC